Molecule: long non-coding RNA, 128 nt
Organism: Poecilia latipinna (sailfin molly)
Lineage: Eukaryota; Metazoa; Chordata; Actinopteri; Cyprinodontiformes; Poeciliidae
Exons: 3
Source: RefSeq, a predicted model, not a curated record
AAAUACAGUAUAUGAAAAAAAAAUCUAAAUGCUGUCUGGUAUUGUUCAGGGGGCUGGACCAAAUGUGGAGGCGGGCCGAAUCCGGCCCGUGGGCCGUAGUUUGGAGACCACUGCUUUAGAGAGUUGAA